UACGUAGGUUGCGAGCGUUGUCCGGAAUUAUUGGGCGUAAAGAGCUUGUAGGCGGUCUGUCGCGUCUGCUGUGAAAAUCCGGGGCUCAACCCCGGACUUGCAGUGGGUACGGGCAGACUAGAGUGUGGUAGGGGAGACUGGAAUUCCUGGUGUAGCGGUGAAAUGCGCAGAUAUCAGGAAGAACACCCGUGGCGAAGGCGGGUCUCUGGGCAGUAACUGACGCUGAGGAGCGAAAGCGUGGGGAGCGAACAGG
Molecule: ribosomal RNA, 253 nt
Filed under: uncultured bacterium
Lineage: Bacteria
Description: partial 16S ribosomal RNA
Rfam family: Bacterial small subunit ribosomal RNA
Source: RNAcentral